GAGAUCUUUCGAUGAAGGGAGCAUCCGUCGACAGUCAGAAAAGAGGAACUGUCAUGGAGUUGCUCUCUUUAUUGAUUAGGUC
Non-coding RNA from Octopus bimaculoides (California two-spot octopus), 82 nucleotides. NCBI's taxonomy places the organism in Eukaryota, Metazoa, Mollusca, Cephalopoda, Octopoda, Octopodidae. The record is from Rfam.